ACUGAAAUGACCAACCAUAGUUACACAACAGAGACACAACCAAAAUUGUAACUCCAUCAUAGUGUAUGCGUUAUUGCUUAACAGUAUAACGUAAGAAACUUGAUUCAACUUAGAUUUGAGCAUACUAUAUUUUGAUGAUCAGUUUUCCUACAUGAAAAAAGAAUCCCUUCCUACAAUGAGAAAUGAGGAAAUGCGUAUUCUCUGGCAUGUACUAAUUCUGUGGUUUAGAUUAAUUAACUUCGUACAAAAAGGUUAAUUUUUACUUUUGUAGGCCACCUUAAAAGAUUACAUAUCUGAACACAUAAACACUUCAGAAUUGUAAUCCGGAGUUUUAUCACAGCUACUUUCAAUAAGCUUUUGAUGUUCCCAUACACUUAUGUUGCAGGUACAAACUGUUCCUGUGGAAGGCAGAAUAUCGCUUCCCGAUCAUUCUCAAUCAUUUUACUUGCUUGCCUGUUCAAACUGCAAUCACUAUGUACGUCCUAAAAUAAAAAAUGGUCCACUGCUUCAACUAUAAACUACACAGGCCAUUGGUCCCCAAGUAACUACAAACUUUACUGCAGCUCAGUUUCUUAAAAUUGAGUUCAUUCACUGUCGAAGAAUUCAUAAAUUUAGGGAAUUGUUUGAAAUGAUAUUACAUUUGGAACUAAAAGUAUUUGCAAAUUUGAUGAAUGAGAGAGAGCAGUUCAAGUUGAAAUGAGGUUUCACACUAUAUAACAGGUAUUAGAAAAACCUACAUUUGAGAAACUGUAUUUGGGAUUCGAUAGAAAUUCAUCCAUGAUUUCUUUGUUCUCAGUUGCUAUAUUUUACAUUUUAUACUACUAUGGACACUGUCACCCAAAGCAUUGUGCCCUUUGUUUCGUAAAAUGAACAUAACCUUGGUUGUUCUUAAAAGCUCUGUUCUGUCUCCAUCCAGGUGUGCCUAUAGCAAAUUGCGUUUCAACCUAGCUAUUGAGUCACAAUGAGUUAAUUUGCUCGAAAACAGUCAACUGGGACAAGCUUAUCCGUGUGUUUCACCAAGAUGUUUUUAUGACAUAGGCGGGGUGGAAAUGUUUGUUUAGUCUGCAUAGAGCAUGCUCUCAUGAAGUAUAAGGACAUGCCUAUAUGUUCUGUAAUUUACAGCUUCUGCCAAUUAAAACUAACAGUGAUUUGUGUCGGGUUCAUAUCACUAAUGAUACAACAAAACCUGUCUGCAUGAUGUUGUUUUGUUCUUUACAUGUUCACAUGCUAUUACUCCACAGUGAAAUAGAUUCAUCCUGUACAUUUGCCUCCACACCUGAAACUUUGAUUUUGCAGCUUUGUCUCUUUCCUUUCAGGUGCCACUUCAACAUUGACUUCACAGAUUCCAACGUGACAAUUACAGCAACAGUGUCAGAAGCUUUAGCAGAAAGAAUACUGUCCCUAACUGUCGACCAAAUAUAUGACAAAGUUGUUGUCCAGGUAUAAAAAUACAUAUUAUUACCUACGGCGAAACUCCUCUUACAAUUUCAUUCUACCAGUAACUCCUAUUUAAUGUACUAUCUUUUACCUUUUCCACUUAGAAACAACCACUGUCUAUUGCCGGUAUAAAUCGCCAACUUGAUCGUGAACUGUUUAAACUGCAAUUACAAAAGUCAGCUUUCAGAUUUCCAGACCAAAAACCAGAUGCGCUAGCUAUUGCGUCAUUCACUAAAACAGAACAAACAGGUAAGAGGAAGAAAAUUGAACCAUCCACACCCGCGAAAAAGGAUUGAAAGUAACAAUACUUUGAUAUUUCAUCUGCUACCAUACUCUAUUUCCUGUGUACCGGAGCUAUGACAAUUACUCAAACAUUUAUUAUGAAUUCAUUAUCUUACCAUUUCAGCAUUACUAAUAACAAAUAAGCAGGUCUAGCUUACACUGAAAUAUACAAUAUCUACUCAACACAAUCAUGUAAAUAGAAUAAUCAUAUGCCCCUUUACUGCACCACCAGGAAAAACUAUUUACUUUUGGUGUUUCCAGAGGUUUACCUUGUAUUAGUUUUAGUUACUUUUGGCAUUUCUUUCAUCGGAUACAUAAAUUGGUUUUAAAUUCUGCCUUGCUUUCUUUCAUCAUCUUCUUUAUCUCAGGUGAGUUUCAAUUUAUUACCGCUACAUAUACCUUUGUACUAUUAAUACUUGCAGGUGGUUUAUUGAUAUACUCACAACGCACGUAAGUUGUUUAAUAAAAAUCCUCUUAUCAUAAAACAGUAUGACAAAAAGCUACUUUGUUACUUUUGUUUUUGCUUGUAACUUAAAGACAAUGUACAAUGUAACUAUUCCAGAUUGGUUAAGCGCUAAAAUCUCGAGCAACAUUCUAUUCGGAAAUAAGCUACUUACAUUAACUAUCCAAUAUUUACAUCCUAAAAUAUACUCUUUUAUGUGGACAUUGUAAAAGAAUAAUUACAUCAGAGUGUGGACAUAUUCUUGGAGUAUGUAUUUUCUUGAGUUGUAACUUUUCCCCAAGGUUUUGUGGCGUGAUGCUAACCUAACCUUUCGGAUAAAAAGCUUAUUUGGUUUCUCUUUAACUGUUGAUGUUUAAGUGCUAUAAAGUUUGGGUCUUUCGGAGAAUUUGAUGGCUCAACUUCGGUUUUUACUAAGAAAUUUAGCUUCCUGUCUUUGUUUUUUGCAGGUAUAUGAAGAAGUUAUGGAAUUUAAUUAACCUACAGUACUCUGCAGGUUUGUUAUCAUCUCGGCUCUCUAUAUGUACCUCAAUCUGCAUAUGUUAUGUUUAGGUGCUAGAUUUUCUCUGAAUGAAGCAUCUGUCUUUCGCAAUUAAAAAAGGUUAAAAGGGAAAAAUGUAUUUUUAUCGAUCAUAGGUAGAUAAAGAAUGAAGUUGCUGCUUCAAAGGCUAUGCGCACCUUUCAUAGAUUCUGGUUGUUUGAUAGGCUGCUUAUGGAGAUAUAUAAUAGCUGCACAAUAUUUUACAUUCACUCUGUUGUUACUAAGCUAUUCUCUGUUUCUGUUCUACUCUCCACACAAUAAGCGAUGUCACUAUUUUUCCCUGUAUACCCAGCUUCGGGAUAAUUUCUAUCAAAUAUUAUAGAACGACGGUAAGUAUGUGAUUUUUGCUAAGAAAUGUUUAGGGACUAGACCAGAGAAAAAAUUUAUCAAAGCAUCCAUAAAUACAAAAGGUAAAAUACCAAUUAAUUAUUGUUUAUAAAAGAGAAAUGGUCAUACUAGAAACAUAGUAGAACAUGAAAAAUGAUAAUAAUAUCAACAUAAGUUCUUACACACUUUCUACUGAGUUAAAAUAAUGUUACUAGAGGAAUUGAUAGACCAUUUAAAUAUAGGAUACGUAAAUCCAAAAUAAUGUCCAGCAAAGCAUAUGCUUUAGUACAAUACAAUGGAGGUACAGUGUGUAUGGAUCCUCGUAUAUGCUUUAGUACAGUACAAUGGAGAUACAAUGUGUAUGGAUCCUCUUACAUUCAUGAAGCUAUUCAUGGAUUAAAUACCCUUCUUCAGAUCACUAUUUCACAUGAUUAAUUGUCCUUUCAUAUUUAAUUAUAUGUUAUAUGUCACUGUAUGCAUACUAAUGUUACUGAAGCAUCACUUAUUUUCUCUUCUUCUGCAGUUGUAACUAUAUGGCAACCUUUCUUCUAAUUUUUCUUAGCACUAUCCACUUCAUCAAAUGAUAUAGCAUGUACAGAUGCAUUUUGCUUCCCUAUACCAGCAUCAGCUAGCAGGCUGCCUGAACUAACUUUUUGUCUGUUGAUGUAAACAACAAUCGACAUUUCAAUGUACAACCACUGUUUACCGUGAUUAUAUUGCUACUUUGUGAUACAGCCUUAUAUAAAUUAUCUCCGCUUAUCGUUCACCUCAUCAUUGGGCCUGUGCCUGCAUGGGCUUCUCUGUCUAGUAUAUAGAUAUAUAUAUAUAUAUAUAUAUAUAUAUAUGGGAAAAGGGUCAAAAAUACCCCUCUACUUUAAAAAAUUGGUAAAAUUUACCCCUAGUUAUACUUUAGAGUCAUAUUUACCCCUAGUUAUACUUUAGAGUCAUAUAUACCCCCGCCAUUAUAAAAGUUUGUAUAUAUACCCCUCAACUAACAGAAUAACCCAAAUCCUUCUAAAUGAUCUAUUUUUUAAAAACUCCAAGCCCGACCCGAUCCAUAAAAAAGGACCUAACCAAAUACAUACUGUACGCAUUUUCUCACGUAGCUGACUUCAAAAUUAGGGGCUUUCUCCUUCACUUCUGUGGGUUGAAUUUUCCCAAAAAAAUUACUCCUCUUUCACUAAUCAUCCCCAAUGAAAUGUAGUUGUGAUCAAUUGUUAACCUUUACUAAUCUUUUUAGCAAUAGAAAUUGUUACGAAAUUGUUACUCUUUCCUCCCAAUGAAAUGUCAGUUGUUUUGUCGUUGUCGUUCUGAUUUGGUGAAUUAAUAGUCAAAAGUCUCAUUUUGAAUACUCCAUCUAAUGUUCGAACAAGGUUUUUCAGUCAACUUAUUGUAGAGAUGACGCUUUGAGGCCCUGGGAUCUUCGACAGAAUGGACAAGCUU
RNAcentral lists this long non-coding RNA (4490 nucleotides) under Capsicum annuum. Its description in RNAcentral is "long non-coding RNA (CANN_LNC005253)". The record is from RNAcentral. Lineage: Eukaryota; Viridiplantae; Streptophyta; Magnoliopsida; Solanales; Solanaceae.